RNAcentral lists this transfer RNA (70 nucleotides) under Trygonoptera ovalis (striped stingaree). RNAcentral's name for it is "tRNA-His". It matches the Rfam family "tRNA". Rfam says of the family: Transfer RNA (tRNA) molecules are approximately 80 nucleotides in length. The record is from RNAcentral. Lineage: Eukaryota; Metazoa; Chordata; Chondrichthyes; Myliobatiformes; Urolophidae.
GUAACUAUAGUUUUAAUUAAAACAUUAGAUUGUGGUUCCUAAAAUAAAAGUUAAACCCUUUUUAGUCACC